UUGACGUUUUGCUUGCUUACUGAAGGUACUGCCUACUGCAGGAGGGUCUGGGAUGGUCCACUGACGGGCGAGCCCGCCGAGGAAACAGGGGGUACUCGUGAACAAAGGGUGCUAUCCCAACGGAGACGGGGUCUCCACGGUAAUGAUCCUUCCGCAGGUUCACCUACGGAAA
This 172-nucleotide unclassified non-coding RNA is filed under the name uncultured fungus. RNAcentral describes it as "sequence contains ITS1". Lineage: Eukaryota; Fungi. The record is from RNAcentral.